RNAcentral lists this unclassified non-coding RNA (319 nucleotides) under Hevea brasiliensis (rubber tree). Lineage: Eukaryota; Viridiplantae; Streptophyta; Magnoliopsida; Malpighiales; Euphorbiaceae. The record is from RNAcentral.
AAAAAAAAAAAAAGAAAGAAAAAGCACAUUUAGGAUAGAUUUGAGAUUGGAUAUAUAUAGACUCCAAAAUAUAUCCAAAUGCAAAUUUGAAUGCAGUUCCUACUUAGCUUUCAAAAUUCACAAACAAUGAUGCCUAUAACAAAGAGAAAACAAGUAAGCCGUUGUUGGUCGUCAACAGAAGAUUUGGUCUCAAUUGCCCUAACUGAGGCAUAUCUGCCAAAAAUAGAAAUUAAAUAUCUAUAAUAACUAUGUAUUUUUCAGUCUCAUCACCCACCCCAAUAAAAUCUACUAUGAGAAAAAAAAAAUUUUAAAAAGGAGA